CUCCGGUGAAUCCUGCGGGACCCGACUGCUAUCAGAGUGGGACUAAGCCAUGCGAGUCGACGUAGCAAUGCGUGGCGAACGGCUCAGUAACACGUAGUCAACAUGCCCAGGGGACGUGGAUAACCUCGGGAAACUGAGAAUAAACCACGAUAGGUCACGAUUUCUGGAAUGGAUCAUGGCCUAAAUCUACAUGGCCCCUGGAUUGGACUGCGGCCGAUCAGGCUGUUGGUGAGGUAAUGGCCCACCAAACCUAUAACCGGUACGGGCUCUGAGAGGAGAAGCCCGGAGAUGGGCACUGAGACAAGGGCCCAGGCCCUAUGGGGCGCAGCAGGCGCGAAACCUCUGCAAUAGGCGAAAGCCUGACAGGGUUACUCUGAGUGAUUUCCGCUAAGGGGAUCUUUUGGCACCUCUAAAAAUGGUGCAGAAUAAGGGGUGGGCAAGUCUGGUGUCAGCCGCCGCGGUAAUACCAGCACCCCGAGUGGUCGGGACGAUUAUUGGGCCUAAAGCAUCCGUAGCCGGUUCUGCAAGUCUUCCGUUAAAUCCAGCCGCUCAACGGAUGGGCCGCGGAGGAUACUACAGGACUAGGAGGCGGGAGAGGCAAGCGGUACUCAGUGGGUAGGGGUAAAAUCCUUUGAUCCAUUGAAGACCACCAGUGGCGAAGGCGGCUUGCCAGAACGCGCUCGACGGUGAGGGAUGAAAGCUGGGGGAGCAAACCGGAUUAGAUACCCGGGUAGUCCCAGCUGUAAACGAUGCAAACUCGGUGAUGCAUUGGCUUAUGGCCAAUGCAGUGCCGCAGGGAAGCCGUUAAGUUUGCCGCCUGGGAAGUACGGACGCAAGUCUGAAACUUAAAGGAAUUGGCGGGGGAGCA
Molecule: ribosomal RNA, 868 nt
Filed under: uncultured archaeon
Lineage: Archaea
Description: bacterial SSU rRNA
Rfam family: Archaeal small subunit ribosomal RNA
Source: RNAcentral